AGAGUUUGAUCAUGGCUCAGGACGAACGCUAGCGGCGUGCCUAAUGUAUGCAAGUCGAGCGAGGGAGGGACUUCGGUCCCUUUCCGGGCGGCAAACGGUUGAGUAACACGUAGGCAACCUGCCCCAGAGACGGGGGAUAGCCCGCCGAAAGGCGGAUUAAUACCGGAUGUGGCGAGGGGAUGCAUAUCCCUUCUGCUAAAGGGAGCAAUCCGCUCUGGGAUGGGCCUGCGGCCUAUCAGCUAGUUGGUGAGGUGACGGCUCACCAAGGCGACGACGGGUAGCUGGUCUGAGAGGAUGGUCAGCCAGACAGGGACUGAGACACGGCCCUGACUCCUUUGGGGGGCAGCAAUGAGGGAUAUUGCACAAUGGGGGAAACCCUGAUGCAGCGACGCCGCGUGGGUGACGAAGUCCUUCGGGAUGUAAAGCCCUUUUCUCGGGGAAGAGAAUGGACGGUACCCGAGGAAUAAGCCCCGGCUAACUACGUGCCAGCAGCCGCGGUAAUACGUAGGGGGCAAGCGUUGUCCGGAAUUACUGGGCGUAAAGCGCGCGUAGGCGGGACAGGAAGUCGGGCGUGAAAGCCUCCGGCUCAACCGGAGAGAGCCGUCCGAUACUCCUGUUCUUGAGGGUCGAAGAGGAGAGUGGAAUUCCCGGUGUAGCGGUGAAAUGCGUAGAGAUCGGGAGGAACACCCAUGGCGAAGGCAGCUCUCUGGUCGGCCACUGACGCUGAGGUGCGAAAGCGUGGGGAGCGAACGGGAUUAGAUACCCUAGUAGUCC
RNAcentral lists this ribosomal RNA (774 nucleotides) under uncultured bacterium. RNAcentral's name for it is "bacterial SSU rRNA". It matches the Rfam family "Bacterial small subunit ribosomal RNA", at positions 8 to 796 of the family's 1533-position model. The record is from RNAcentral.